GGGGAUGUCAAGGCUUCGACAUGAAUAAUUGACUACCAAAGGCAGUGGGGUUUGCCCCUUAUAGCUCAAGGUCUUCUUAAGUGCAGACACAAACAAUGACAAUGUUAACAUGGACGAAGCAUUCAUGCUAAACAAAUUGUCAAACCAAGCUCAAUACAACUACGCAUAUUUAGCCUAGUCUAAGACUUGUUGGGUAUUAAUGGUUCUAUUUACAUUAAUACGUUACUUUAAAUAGAUAUAUUCUUUGACUCCAAUAAGAAGAAUGAACCUCAUUGGAUUAGUUAAACAUAGGUUUGUUUUAAUACCUAAUAAUGUUUAAUGAAUGCUCAAAUUAAAACUAAACUGUAGAAUUUGAUAGAAGGUUAUUUGUGGAAACGGGUUCGAUUCCCGUCAUCUCCACCA
Molecule: transfer-messenger RNA, 402 nt
Filed under: Mycoplasmoidaceae bacterium
Lineage: Bacteria; Bacillati; Mycoplasmatota; Mycoplasmoidales; Mycoplasmoidaceae
Rfam family: transfer-messenger RNA
About the family: Bacterial tmRNA, also known as 10Sa RNA or SsrA, is named for its dual tRNA and mRNA-like properties. Its role is to liberate the mRNA from a stalled ribosome.
Source: RNAcentral